This 926-nucleotide ribosomal RNA is filed under the name uncultured Bacteroidota bacterium. RNAcentral describes it as "bacterial SSU rRNA". It matches the Rfam family "Bacterial small subunit ribosomal RNA", at positions 1 to 917 of the family's 1533-position model. The record is from RNAcentral. Lineage: Bacteria; Pseudomonadati; Bacteroidota.
UGGAUCCAGACUUUGAUUCUGGCUCAGGAUGAACGCUAGCUACAGGCUUAACACAUGCAAGCCGAGGGGAAACGACAUCGAAAGCUUGCUUUUGAUGGGCGUCGACCGGCGCACGGGUGAGUAACGCGUAUCCAACCUGCCCACCACUUGGGGAUAACCUUGCGAAAGUAAGACUAAUACCCAAUGAUAUCUCUAGAAGACAUCUGAAAGAGAUUAAAGAUUUAUCGGUGAUGGAUGGGGAUGCGUCUGAUUAGCUUGUUGGCGGGGUAACGGCCCACCAAGGCAACGAUCAGUAGGGGUUCUGAGAGGAAGGUCCCCCACAUUGGAACUGAGACACGGUCCAAACUCCUACGGGAGGCAGCAGUGAGGAAUAUUGGUCAAUGGACGAGAGUCUGAACCAGCCAAGUAGCGUGCAGGAUGACGGCCCUAUGGGUUGUAAACUGCUUUUAUAAGGGAAUAAAGUGAGUCUCGUGAGACUUUUUGCAUGUACCUUAUGAAUAAGGACCGGCUAAUUCCGUGCCAGCAGCCGCGGUAAUACGGAAGGUCCGGGCGUUAUCCGGAUUUAUUGGGUUUAAAGGGAGCGUAGGCCGGAGAUUAAGCGUGUUGUGAAAUGUAGACGCUCAACGUCUGCACUGCAGCGCGAACUGGUUUCCUUGAGUACGCACAAAGUGGGCGGAAUUCGUGGUGUAGCGGUGAAAUGCUUAGAUAUCACGAAGAACUCCGAUUGCGAAGGCAGCUCACUGGAGCGCAACUGACGCUGAAGCUCGAAAGUGCGGGUAUCGAACAGGAUUAGAUACCCUGGUAGUCCGCACGGUAAACGAUGGAUGCCCGCUGUUGGUCUGAAUAGGUCAGCGGCCAAGCGAAAGCAUUAAGCAUCCCACCUGGGGAGUACGCCGGCAACGGUGCAACUCAAAUGAAUUGACGGA